AGUCGACUGUUGCGCGUGCGCGCGCUGUGACGUUCCCUACGCGGUCGGGCGUUGGGUUUCGCGGCGCUCGCCGCACUGGUUGUUCAGCACCUUCGGUCCGGUUGAGGUUGUCAAGUCGGACCAAACAGGUUGUUUCUCUGCAGUUUCCAACAUGGCAGGGAGGUUUAAUAGACAUGGAUAAGAAGUCCACUCACAGAAAUCCUGAAGAUGCCAGGGCUGGCAAAUAUGAAGGUAAACACAAACGAAAGAAAAGAAGAAAGCAAAACCAAAACCAGCACCGAUCCCGACAUAGAUCAGUGACGUCUUUUUCUUCAGAUGAUCCUAUGUUUCCUUCUUCCUCAUCAUCGUCUUCAGGAAGCCAGACAGAUUCAAGUAUUGAAGUAACACAGACCCUCUGUAGAAUACCCAGGAGGGAUAGGAAUGAAUCAGAGAUGCUGCCAAGGGAAAAAUUAAGAAGAAGAGAAGAGAGAAAACAAAUAAAUGGGAAAAAAGAAAGGACAAAAUAUGAAACACCAAGAAAAAGAGAAGGAAAAAAAGGAGGAAACAACCACAUAUGUCACCUUUCCAAGAGGGACUGAAACUGGGCUGACCCUUUUGAUUUCCAAGCUCAGCGUUUUGGUGUAAGGCGGCCAAAGAAGGAUGCGGAGCCCAGCACUGUGAAGCCUACAAAAACAUUGAUGCGCUGGCUUGGGGAUUUGAAUUUGAACAUCUUUCACACUAAGUUCAGACUCAUGAAACCAAUCUUCAGAUGCUCUGUAAACCACAUAAUAAAGAGUUUGGAAAUUA
Molecule: long non-coding RNA, 786 nt
Filed under: Homo sapiens (human)
Lineage: Eukaryota; Metazoa; Chordata; Mammalia; Primates; Hominidae
Description: long intergenic non-protein coding RNA 467
Source: RNAcentral